UACGUAGGGUGCGAGCGUUAAUCGGAAUUACUGGGCGUAAAGUGUGCGCAGGUGGCCGCGCAAGUCGAGUGUGAAAUCCCCGAGCUUAACUUGGGAAUUGCGCUCGAAACUACGUGGCUCGAGUGUGGCAGAGGAAGGUGGAAUUCCUGGUGUAGCGGUGGAAUGCGCAGAUAUCAGGGGGAACACCAAUAGCGAAGGCAGCUCGCUGGGACGGUACUGACGCUAAGGCGCGAAAGCGUGGGGAGCGAACAGG
This 253-nucleotide ribosomal RNA is filed under the name uncultured bacterium. RNAcentral's name for it is "partial 16S ribosomal RNA". It matches the Rfam family "Bacterial small subunit ribosomal RNA", at positions 524 to 776 of the family's 1533-position model. The record is from RNAcentral.